GCCCCUGCCCAGCCCAGAUGACGCUAUAAAGGCCUUCUUUGAAAGAGAAAGAAUGAGGUGUCAUUCUGUGCAGGGAUCCCAAGGGACCAGGCAUCCAGCCUUCCCAGUCUGCAGCCCCCGGACCCUCUCCUGGUGUUGUUCUUCAGGCCUUAGUCACAUCUGGGAGUCCCUUCCAGGCUUGGCAGGCAGAGUAUCUCAAGAUGAAAAGAAAAACAUCUUUCUUUGCUUGUUGGCUGUGGUUUCACCUUCUACUACUUUUAGGAAAUGCUGUCACUUCUAAUGCUAGCACAAUAGCCGUCUCUCUUGAAUCAACCACACCAUCCAGCAGGACCACCACAGUCACCUCCCCUGGACCAACCACACCACCCCGUGGAACUAAUACAACAGCUACAACCUCCAAUGGCACCAGCACAAGUCCUGCCCCACCAAGGAAAGAGGAAAACGCUAAAGGAUACCUGAGGCCUGGGGAAGUCGUCCUGGUCACUCUGGCCUCGGUUGCAAUGGCGGUGACUCUCCUCACUGGACUCCUCUUCCAUUUUAGAAACUCUCUGAGCCUAAGAAACCUCUUCAGCGUAGAUCUCGCACCACCACCAUGGCCAUACCCUCAUGGCUCUUAUGAAGUCCCAGAAGGGUCGAGGGCAACUGUAACUGAUUUCAGAGGAGACCUGUUUCUUCCUGCAGCCAUGGAGCUGACUGGGAGACACGAGUGGUCCUGAGCAUCCCUGAAGGCAGAAGCAUCACCAUCCAGUGGGUGUGGGGAGCUGGCCUGAGGGACUGGGGACCUGAGUGUCACCCCGUCCUGCCUCUAGGGCUGCUUCUCCCAGCUCUCCUUCAGUCUCUGACUGUCUGCCUUCCCGUUUGGUUUUUCCAAACCAGGAAAAGGAGGCUGCAGCUGUGAAUAAAUUAUUAAAUAAUUGUGCCUAAUAUA
Molecule: non-coding RNA, 928 nt
Organism: Vicugna pacos (alpaca)
Lineage: Eukaryota; Metazoa; Chordata; Mammalia; Artiodactyla; Camelidae
Source: RefSeq, a predicted model, not a curated record